AAAAACUUUUGAUCCUUAAUGCAGAAUUCUUCUAAAGAACUCUAAUGGCUUGCUUUCCUUCCUUUCUAUUUUCCUUUAGCCUUCUAAAAUCACUUCUAAUCCUUUUGUCCUAAAGAAGACCACCUUGUCUUGGCUUAGGACACACUAGAAGCAAUGCUAGAAAGAAAGAAACUAAUGUAAGAAAGAAAGAAGAGAGGAGUGGGGUGGAAUUGGAAUGAUGAAACCCAUGGAGUGCUAACCUAUUUAUAAUAGGUGUAN
This 258-nucleotide long non-coding RNA is filed under the name Phoenix dactylifera (date palm). RNAcentral describes it as "long non-coding RNA (PDAC_LNC011405)". The record is from RNAcentral. Lineage: Eukaryota; Viridiplantae; Streptophyta; Magnoliopsida; Arecales; Arecaceae.